UGAAAAAAUUAGAGUGUUCAAAGCAUGGCCCAGAUCGUUUACCGUGAAAAAAUUAGAGUGUUCAAAGCGGGCAGAUAUUUKUCCUGCCACCGAAUACAUUAGCAKGGGAUAAUGGAAUAGGACCCUGACCUCCUAUUUUCAGUUGGUUUUGUUUACAGCGAGGUUAUAUCAGGGUAAUGAUUAAUAGGGAUAGUUGGGGGCAUUAAUAUUUAAUUGWCAGAGGUGAAAUUCUUGGAUUUAUGAAAGAUUAAMUUCUGCGAAAGCGUUUGCCAAGGAUGUUUUCAUUAAUCAAGAACGAAAGUUAGGGGAUCGAAGACGAUCAGAUACCGUCGUAGUCUUAACCAUAAACGAUGCCGACCUGGCCCANAUCGUCCCCGAWURWGAGMCCAGAUUGAANNNUACUNNNAAAACACCGCCGUUAAUCCUUUCGGGGGUUAAUGGUUGGUGAAUGACUCCCCUAGCGGCUUGUGAUAAGCCCGGUGGCACCGG
This 489-nucleotide ribosomal RNA is filed under the name Acanthamoeba lenticulata. RNAcentral describes it as "partial 18S ribosomal RNA". It matches the Rfam family "Eukaryotic small subunit ribosomal RNA", at positions 725 to 1128 of the family's 1831-position model. The record is from RNAcentral. Lineage: Eukaryota; Discosea; Longamoebia; Acanthamoebidae.